RNAcentral lists this ribosomal RNA (273 nucleotides) under uncultured bacterium. RNAcentral describes it as "partial 16S ribosomal RNA". It matches the Rfam family "Bacterial small subunit ribosomal RNA", at positions 524 to 796 of the family's 1533-position model. The record is from RNAcentral.
UACGGAGGGGGCAAGUGUUGUUCGGAAUCACUGGGCGUAAAGGGCGCGCAGGCGGCUGGGCAAGUCGAGUGUGAAAGCCCUCAGCUUAACUGAGGAAUGGCGCUCGAAACUACCAGGCUGGAGGGCGGGAGAGGGAAGUGGAACUCUCGGUGUAGGGGUGAAAUCUGUAGAUAUCGAGAGGAACACCGGUGGCGAAGGCGGCUUCCUGGCCCGUACCUGACGCUGAGGCGCGAAAGCGUGGGGAGCAAACAGGAUUAGAUACCCCCGUAGUCC